UGAUGGCGUUGAAUAACUUCCCAUAUAUGCCCGAUAAUCCGGUUCGGGUGUCUCUACGGCGGGGCCAUAACUCUGCCACUAUGGGUGCAUGCGUUCAGCGG
RNAcentral lists this non-coding RNA (101 nucleotides) under Edaphobacillus lindanitolerans. RNAcentral's name for it is "Guanine sequence". It matches the Rfam family "Purine riboswitch aptamer". Rfam says of the family: Riboswitches are metabolite binding domains within certain messenger RNAs that serve as precision sensors for their corresponding targets. Allosteric rearrangement of mRNA structure is mediated by ligand binding, and this results in modulation of gene expression. A class of riboswitches that selectively recognises guanine and becomes saturated at concentrations as low as 5 nM. Lineage: Bacteria; Bacillati; Bacillota; Bacilli; Caryophanales; Bacillaceae. The record is from RNAcentral.